This 428-nucleotide long non-coding RNA is filed under the name Actinidia chinensis (golden kiwifruit). RNAcentral describes it as "long non-coding RNA (ACHI_LNC000808)". The record is from RNAcentral. Lineage: Eukaryota; Viridiplantae; Streptophyta; Magnoliopsida; Ericales; Actinidiaceae.
AUACAAACAAUAAAUACAGAAAAGGGAACUGCACAACCACAAAAUAUGGAUGUGCCUAGAAAAAUCGCUACAUGUGAUUAUGCAGCGCAAAAAAAUCUAAAGUCAGUCUACACUUCCAUCCCCCGGUAAAGUGAAACAACUUGUACAUUCAACACCAACAAAUCUAAUACAGAAAACCAGUAAGUUAAUUUAGACGAAUAAAUUGCACAUUUCUUGGCCUAAAAACUUUAUGGAAACUUACGAUGCAAAUUAGAAGAAAAAAAGAACGAGAAUGACCACUAUGUCAUUAUAUCAUAAUAUUUGUUCAACACUUAAACUUGGAAGAAAAUAAAAAAGCGCGAUAGAAAACAAAGAGUACGGGAGUGAGUAGAUACCACAUUUCUUGCAGUGAAAAUAAUUCUCACGACCACCAACUCUGAAAAUCAAAA